AGUGCUGCGGUGCUGGCUGGGUGGCCGAGUGGUCCCCGCAGCCUCUGGACCCAGCCAUGCUGCUCUGGAUGCAGGGCUUCGUGCUGGAGGCGGUGGCCUGCCAGGAUAACGAUGACUACUUACGCUACGGGAUCCUCUUCGAAGACCUGGAUUGCAAUGGGGACGGCGUGGUGGACAUCAUUGAGCUCCAGGAGGGGCUGAGAAACUGGAGCUCCGCGUUUGACCCCAACUCCGAGGAGCAUGGAUAGUGAUGGAUCAAUGACAGUAGACUGGGAUGAAUGGAAGUACUACUUUUUACUGCAUCCUGCAACAAAUAUCACUGAAAUGAUUCAUUUCUGGAAGCAUUCUACUUUAAUUGAUAUAGGAGAGAGUAUAGCUAUUCCAGAUGAAUUUACCGAACAAGAAAAGCAGUCUGGAGAUUGGUGGAAGCGUUUGGUGUCAGCAGGAAUAGCUAGUGCGGUUGCACGGACAUGCACGGCACCUUUAGACCGCUUGAAAGUCAUGAUGCAG
RNAcentral lists this long non-coding RNA (510 nucleotides) under Homo sapiens (human). Its description in RNAcentral is "non-protein coding lnc-NBPF4-2:1". Lineage: Eukaryota; Metazoa; Chordata; Mammalia; Primates; Hominidae. The record is from RNAcentral.